GACGAACGCUGGCGGCGUGCUUAACACAUGCAAGUCGAACGGAAAGGCCCUGCUUUUGUGGGGUGCUCGAGUGGCGAACGGGUGAGUAACACGUGAGUAAACUGCCCUUGACUUUGGGAUAACUUCAGGAAACUGGGGCUAAUACCGGAUAGGAGCUCCUGCUGCAUGGUGGGGGUUGGAAAGUUUCGGCGGUUGUGGAUGGACUCGCGGCUUAUCAGCUUGUUGGUGGGGUAGUGGCUUACAAAGGCUUUGACGGGUAGCCGGCCUGAGAGGGUGACCGGCGACAAUGGGACUGAGAUACGGCCCAGUCUCCUACGGGCGGCAGCAGUGGGGAGUAUUGCACAACGGGCGGAAGUCUGAUGUAGCAACGCCGCGUGCGUGAUGACGGCCUUCGGGUUGUAAACCGCUUUCGACUGUGACGAAGAGUGAGUGACGGUAAUGGGUAAAGAAGCACCGGCUAACUACGUG
RNAcentral lists this ribosomal RNA (468 nucleotides) under uncultured bacterium. Its description in RNAcentral is "partial 16S ribosomal RNA". It matches the Rfam family "Bacterial small subunit ribosomal RNA", at positions 28 to 507 of the family's 1533-position model. The record is from RNAcentral.